AGGCAGCAGGAAGUUAAAGGUGGAAUACUGGAAAUAGUUUUCCUUCCUCCAUGCUGUAUGGAGAUGGGGGCUGCUGCAUGGAAGUGGGGGCUAGAUGUUGGUGAAGGUGUCCUUGUUCGAGCAGAGAAGGUAGUGUUGGUGCUUCUUUUCAGUGCCAGUCCAUCCAUCACGACCACAUUUGUCAUGAUGACAGUGACAAGAGUGAAGAUAGUCCAAGUCCUAAGAGACAGCGCCUCUCUCAUUCAGUCUUUGAUUAUACAUCAGCAUCACCAGCUCCCUCACCACCAAUGCGACCAUGGGAGAUGACAUCAAAUAGGCAGCCCCCUUCAGUUCGACCAAGCCAACAUCACUUCUCAGGGGAACGAUGCAACACACCUGCACGCAACAGAAGAAGUCCUCCUGUCAGGCGCCAGAGAGGAAGAAGGGAUCGUCUGUCUCGACAUAAUUCCAUUAGUCAAGAUGAAAACUAUCACCAUCUCCCUUACGCACAGCAGCAAGCAAUAGAGGAGCCUCGAGCCUUCCACCCUCCGAAUGUAUCUCCCCGUCUGCUACAUCCUGCUGCUCAUCCACCCCAGCAGAAUGCAGUCAUGGUUGACAUACAUGA
RNAcentral lists this long non-coding RNA (604 nucleotides) under Homo sapiens (human). RNAcentral describes it as "HSALNT0148610". Lineage: Eukaryota; Metazoa; Chordata; Mammalia; Primates; Hominidae. The record is from RNAcentral.